RNAcentral lists this unclassified non-coding RNA (208 nucleotides) under fungal sp. RNAcentral's name for it is "partial internal transcribed spacer region". The stretch from base 1 to 46 matches the Rfam family "Eukaryotic small subunit ribosomal RNA", at positions 1786 to 1831 of the family's 1831-position model. The record is from RNAcentral. Lineage: Eukaryota; Fungi.
AAGUCGUAACAAGGUUUCCGUAGGUGAACCUGCGGAAGGAUCAUUACCGAAUUUGUGGAGCCGAAAGGCUUCGAAUUCCACACAGUGUUUUAAGCGGGUUGGAUCAGUGUGAAAACUGAGACGAUUUUGCGAAAAAAGCUAUUCAUACCUCGUAUGAACAAAAAUUAUAAACAAAUCAAAACUUUCAACAACGGAUCUCUUGGUUCUG